This 580-nucleotide long non-coding RNA is filed under the name Homo sapiens (human). RNAcentral describes it as "ZNF213 antisense RNA 1". Lineage: Eukaryota; Metazoa; Chordata; Mammalia; Primates; Hominidae. The record is from RNAcentral.
CGGCCUCCCAAAGUACUGGGAUUACAGGUGGAGACUGGACCUCAGAAGAGGGAGUGGGUGCCCCGAGAACUCACAGCUAGCGGACAGUGGAAAGGGCAGGAGCCGGACCAAGGUGAGGACAGUGGAACUGAAGGCCGCUGGUUACCUCUCCUGCCCUCCGCUGGCCACAGUGGAGAAGACAGCCCCUCCCUCCUGCUCUGACCUGACAGUGUUCAUCCAUCGCCCUGUAUUAGCGAAGAACAACAUCAAGCUGGCUAGCAAGGAACUGUAUACAGGGUCCAGCUGGGUAUCACACUGGAUCUCACCCAAAGCUUAGAUGUGAUCCAGCUCAGUAUCACAAAGCAGAACGAAAAGGAUGUGUUUGGGCUGAGAGGCCAUACAUUGAUGGAGUCUUGCUCUGUCGCCCAGGCUGGAGUCCAGUGGCGCGAUCUCGGUUCACUGCAAGCUCUGCCUCCCGAGUUCAUGCCAUUCUCCUGCCUCAGCCUCCUGAGUAGCUGGGACUACAGGCACCUGCCACCACGGCUGGCUAAUUUUUUUUUUUUUUUUUUUGAAAUGGAGUCUUGCUCUGUUGCCCAGGCUG